Salmo salar (Atlantic salmon) is the source of this 2574-nucleotide non-coding RNA. NCBI's taxonomy places the organism in Eukaryota, Metazoa, Chordata, Actinopteri, Salmoniformes, Salmonidae. The record is from RefSeq and is a predicted model, not a curated record.
CAAAAUCAACCGCACCCAAGCAUAGACAAACACGUGACUAUGCAUUUGCUCACGUUUAGGGAAAAAGAGCAGAGAAGCGUUCAAUAUGGAUUUUUUUUUUUUGAAGACCCAAAUAUUGCCCUUGUCACGUGACAAGGGUCAAUUCAAUUUCCACAUUCACUUCACUGUACUGGAAGCGGUUUGAGGACAUCCAGUCUCCCACGAUGGACUCAGACAUACUGAAUAUUGAGGAAAUAGUGAUGGGGAAGGGGCCACCAGAUCCCCCUGCAGAACUGACCACUGAGAAACCAGCAGAACACUACAAACCCAUUGCCUCCUUCAAAGCACCACCUCCACCCACCAUUCAACCAUACCAGCAUGAGAAUCUGCAGUGCUUCCAGUGCUUCAUCACCUUCUGUAACUCCAAAGCCAAGGAGAGGCACAUGAAGAAGAGCCAUCGUGAGGAGUACAAGCAGCAGCUCCAGCAGGGAGAUACUCUGUUCACUUGCUAUGUGUGUGACCGUACCUUUCCGUCCUCGGAGGAGCUGACCCAGCACCAGGGCUCACACAACAAGGAGGACAAGCCCUUCAAGUGUCCCCACUGCCAGGAGAGCUUCCGCACCUUCUCUGAGCUGACGACCCACAGGAGACAGGUCUGUCCAGAGAGGCAAUUUGUGUGUAAGGACUGCAGUGAGACCUUCCGCAGCCCUGCCUUCCUUCGUACCCACCGCCUGGCCCAGCACCCCCGUCCAGAGGCAGAGGUGGAAGAGCCAGAUGACCCUACCAAGACCCACCGCUGUGGGAAGUGCAACCGGGGCUUCGAGACAGAGUCUGAGCUAAUAAUGCACCAGGAGAACCACGCCGGUGACCAGCACUGCAACGGCAGCGCCUCGCCCGCCAAGAAGCGCGGACGGCCCUUUAAAGCCGAGGACUCAACAGUCGGAGGGAAGAAGAGAAAGAAGAAGGAAGAGGGCACAGAGGAGGCUGAGACUGGAAACAAUGCCGAGGAGGCUGCAGCAGCUCCGGCUGAGACCAAGGGGAAAGCAGGAGGAGGCGGUGGCAGGCGGGGCCGUCCUAAAGCAGCAGCAGGCGAGGAGGCCAGAGAAGACCACAGUGAAGCCCCAGCAGAGGAGAAGAAACUCAAAGCGGCUCCCGCUUGCCCAAGCAACACCCCUGCCCUGAGUGUGAGCUCACGUUCCCUGCCCUGGCCCAGCUCCGCACCCACAAGAGGGAAAAGCACAUCCCACGUAAGGCCCACCCCUGCGAGGAGUGUGAGGAGAGCUUUGCCCGUCCCGAGCAGCUAGAAGCCCACAAGAACCGGGCACACAUCAAGGGGCGUUACGCCUGCCCUACCUGUGGCAAGAGCUUUGGCCGAGAGAGCAACCUGAAGGGCCACCAGCAGAGCAGCCACCCAGAGGAGGAGGAGAAGCAAGAGGUAGCGGGCCGCAGCAAGAGAUAAUUCAGAAUGGGGAAGGGGCGAUUUUCUGUAAAGUGAUUGGGGAGGGGGGACGAAGAAUCAAAGGGAUUUUAAAGAAUUUGAAUUUGGUCAAGGGUUUUUGUUGGUUUGAGGUUGGGUGUGAAAUUUAGAUCCUAAGUUUGAGGUGUUUUUAGAAUGUGAGGAAUUUCUUGCAGGAUUUUUAACAGGUGACCUGAGGCGUCCCACUGAUUGUUCAGCAUUUGCCAUUUUUGGAUUGUUAGGAUGUUCAAGGCACACAUCACACUUGGACUGACUGACUUACUAACCAAAAGAUGUAAGCUGUUAAACCCAUCUGUUAUACACCUGUCUUAUCUGGACUAAGAACAACAAUUAAUUAGUUUUGGGCAUCAUGUUUGUUCCCUUGGUUUUGAUUAAUAUCUUUAAAUGAUUCUCAUAAUUGAGUUACUGUUUUUACAUUAUCUUUAGAGGUGUAUGUAAAAUGCUUUUCAUGCUGUCUGACAAAUGGAGCUUUUCUUGUUUUAUGAUUUUUAUAUUGCUAAGUAUGUGUUCUGUAGUAGCAGAUGAAAUGCAACUACCGUGCAUUUUAUAAAACCUGUUGGGGAUAUUUACUUUUUGAAAGAUUCUAGUGAUAAGUGAACAUGGAUUGGAAUGUUUGGGAGUUAUAUAACGUCUCUUAGAAAUUGCAUCUAUUUAUAUACGGUUUCUGGUGCAUUGUAAUGCCACACUGUUUCAAUUCUGAUUAACUCCUAAAUUAUACUGCUAUUUAAUGCGCAGGGUAUAAAAAAUAUCAAUGCAUUUAUCCUCUUAAGUUCGUUUGGUUUAGGCCCAAUGGUUCUUCUUUGGUGUCAUGCAUGGAUUUUAACUUGUCAUCCUAAACAAUGGUUGUAAUGAAGACUACUAGUCAGACUCAAAUUAAGAUAAUCCUGCCACCAGCUACACCUUGUCACCUGUAUUUUUGAUUUGUUAUACUUAAUUUAAAUGUCAUAGAUAUUCUAAUGAACUUUCCAUAAAGGAUUUGCUUAAAGUUUGGCAUGAUGAAGAAAUGACCAGAGGCCUGAAUGGACGUGUACUUGUUUUCAAUAUUCUCCCCAUGUAACAUGCCUGGACACUCUGCCAAUAUGUAAUAAAGGUGCCCCAAGGGCUGCUACAGAAUGACA